This 559-nucleotide ribosomal RNA is filed under the name uncultured bacterium. RNAcentral describes it as "bacterial SSU rRNA". It matches the Rfam family "Bacterial small subunit ribosomal RNA", at positions 338 to 916 of the family's 1533-position model. The record is from RNAcentral.
CCUACGGGAGGCAGCAGUGAGGAAUUUUCCGCAAUGGGCGAAAGCCUGACGGAGCAAUACCGCGUGAGGGAUGAAGGAUUUUGGUCUGUAAACCUCUUUUCUCAAGAAAGAAGUUCUGACGGUACUUGAGGAAUAGGCAUCGGCUAACUCCGUGCCAGCAGCCGCGGUAAUACGGGGGAUGCAGGCGUUAUCCGGAAUGAUUGGGCGUAAAGCGCCUGUAGGUUGUUUAUUAAGUCCGUUGUUAAAGCCUAGGGCUCAACCCUAGAAAAGCAAUGGAAACUAGUAGACUAGAGUAUGGCAGGGGUAGAGGGAAUUUCUAGUGUAGCGGUGAAAUGCGUAGAUAUUAGAAAGAACACCGGUGGCGAAAGCGCUCUACUGGACCAUUACUGACACUCAGAGGCGAAAGCUAGGGUAGCAAAAGGGAUUAGAUACCCCUGUAGUCCUAGCCGUAAACGAUGGAUACUAGAUGUUGUGCAUUAUGUACAGUAUCGUAGCUAACGCGUUAAGUAUCCCGCCUGGGGAGUACGCUCGCAAGGGUGAAACUCAAAGGAAUUGACGG